CACAAAAGAAAAUAAGGAACCAAUGUUUAACCAAGAAUUAACAAGCUCUGGCCUCUGCAUCAACUUAACUCUUUAGUACAACAAGGUUAUUCUUGUACAGUGAUGGUCUUUUCUUUGCAGUGUCCAAAUCCUGACUUCAAUAAAGAGCAAAAUAGGUGGACAAUGGUCUGAAGAAUGCUUGUCGAAAGAGCAAGAGUACAUGAAUGGACUAGCAAUACCAUUCUAGAAAUGACCAAACAAAGGCACCAGUUGAAACAAUUGACCGAUGCCCAACACAAGCUACCAUAGCAUAUCACCUUGGUGGACACUAAUUCUAGAAUCUGGUCCAUGGAAUCCACAAAGGGGAAAGCAGUCCUGGAGGACCAGCAGGACCGUGGAUGGAGCUGCAUCGGAUGGGAAGGAGCUGUCUGGCGACUAAAUCGCGUCGUCUCGCCGUGCUCGAAGACAUCCGCGCCGCCUUCCUACACAUCCCAGCAAAUGAAUCGAGAGGAGGUGCCAGCUUGAUGAUGAGCUGACCAUCUUCUCCGAUGGAGGUCGUGCGCGUGCCGGCGGCCGGAGUCCGCGGUCGUAGAGGUGCACCCGCCUGGAGGCAAGCCCUCGUCCUCGUGGUCGACCUGGCCGGCCAUGGUCGGACAUCGACGGACCCGGAAUCGAAUCAACCGUCCAACACGUCAACGCAAUCAAGCUGUUCUAGCUUGUGCAGAAUUGGGGAAAAAGAAAGCGCAGAAAGAUGGAGGCUCCAGGCCGGAGAUAGCAAAAGGAGAGGCGAAUCUGAUUGGGUCCGGCAGCGGCGGAAGAGGCCGGGUUGGCGCGGUGGUCGUCAUGCAGCUCGGCCUGGGGGAGUUUUACGCUAGCGAGCAAGCAAGCCAUGGCUAGCGCAC
This is a long non-coding RNA of Lolium perenne, 881 nucleotides long. RefSeq lists it as uncharacterized. The record is from RefSeq and is a predicted model, not a curated record. NCBI's taxonomy places the organism in Eukaryota, Viridiplantae, Streptophyta, Magnoliopsida, Poales, Poaceae.